Molecule: transfer RNA, 65 nt
Filed under: Hexacentrus japonicus
Lineage: Eukaryota; Metazoa; Arthropoda; Insecta; Orthoptera; Tettigoniidae
Description: tRNA-Leu
Source: RNAcentral
ACUAUUUUGGCAGAUUAGUGCGUUGAAUUUAGAAUUCACAAAUGUAAUAGAGUUUACAAAUAGUA